Molecule: microRNA precursor, 200 nt
Filed under: Dichanthelium oligosanthes
Lineage: Eukaryota; Viridiplantae; Streptophyta; Magnoliopsida; Poales; Poaceae
Description: MIR1435 microRNA precursor family
Rfam family: MIR1435 microRNA precursor family
Source: Rfam by way of RNAcentral
UUUAUUUGUCUUAAGCCAAACUUGUCCAACAUUGAUUAAGUUUAUAGUAAAAUAUAACAAUAUCUAUACUAUCAAAUAUAUGUACUAUCGAAAUAUAUUCCAUGGUGGAUUCAAUGAAAUAAAUUUGGUUUUGUAGAUGUUGUUAUAUUUUUCUAUAAACUUGGUCAAAGUUGAAUAAGUUUAACUUAGGACAGACGACA